RNAcentral lists this ribosomal RNA (548 nucleotides) under uncultured bacterium. RNAcentral's name for it is "bacterial SSU rRNA". It matches the Rfam family "Bacterial small subunit ribosomal RNA", at positions 355 to 896 of the family's 1533-position model. The record is from RNAcentral.
UAGGGAAUCUUCCGCAAUGGGCGAAAGCCUGACGGAGCAACGCCGCGUGAGUGAAGAAGGAUUUCGGUUCGUAAAGCUCUGUUGUUAGGGAAGAAUGAUUAUGUAGUAACUAUACAUAGUAGAGACGGUACCUAACCAGAAAGCCACGGCUAACUACGUGCCAGCAGCCGCGGUAAUACGUAGGUGGCAAGCGUUGUCCGGAAUUAUUGGGCGUAAAGCGCGCGCAGGUGGUUUAAUAAGUCUGAUGUGAAAGCCUACGGCUCAACCGUGGAGGGUCAUUGGAAACUGUUAAACUUGAGUGCAGGAGAGAAAAGUGGAAUUCCUAGUGUAGCGGUGAAAUGCGUAGAGAUUAGGAGGAACACCAGUGGCGAAGGCGGCUUUUUGGCCUGUAACUGACACUGAGGCGCGAAAGCGUGGGGAGCAAACAGGAUUAGAUACCCUGGUAGUCCACGCCGUAAACGAUGAGUGCUAAGUGUUGGUCUCAUAAGAGAUCAGUGCUGCAGCUAACGCAUUAAGCACUCCGCCUGGGGAGUACGACCGCAAGGUUG